CCUACGGGAGGCAGCAGUGAGGAAUAUUGGUCAAUGGACGGAAGUCUGAACCAGCCAUGCCGCGUGCAGGAUGACGGCUCUAUGAGUUGUAAACUGCUUUUGUACGAGAAUAAUAGUUCUUACGUGUAGGGAUUUGAAUGUAUCGUACGAAUAAGGAUCGGCUAACUCCGUGCCAGCAGCCGCGGUAAUACGGAGGAUUCGAGCGUUAUCCGGAUUUAUUGGGUUUAAAGGGUGCGCAGGCGGAUUUUUAAGUCAGCGGUCAAAUCGUGGGGCUCAACCCCAUCCAGCCGUUGAAACUGGGGAUCUAGAGUGUGCGAGAGGUAUGCGGAAUGCGUGGUGUAGCGGUGAAAUGCAUAGAUAUCACGCAGAACCCCGAUUGCGAAGGCAGCAUACCGGUGCACAACUGACGCUCAGGCACGAAAGCGUGGGUAUCGAACAGGAUUAGAUACCCGAGUAGUC
This 459-nucleotide ribosomal RNA is filed under the name uncultured bacterium. Its description in RNAcentral is "partial 16S ribosomal RNA". It matches the Rfam family "Bacterial small subunit ribosomal RNA", at positions 338 to 795 of the family's 1533-position model. The record is from RNAcentral.